AGAUUCCUGGCUCCCAGCCCCGCCCAGCCCCAUUCCCUGCAGCCCCCCGGGGCAGUGACUGCCCUGGGGAGAAGGGGAGGGGCAGGGAGAGGAAAAGCCAGUUCCUGCCUCUGCCCGGUCCCGCACUGCUGGGGGACACGCUGCCCUGGGGACAGGGUCACGAGGAUCCCCCAAAGAGGCACCUUUGAUUCUGCUCUUUGGGUGCACAAUUUUAUCCUUUUCAGUUGUUUAUAAAGGGCUGAACGUCACUGGAUGGAUCUUGGCUCUGAGCCCGUCUGGCAGCAGUGCCUACGUUCAUCUUCAGGGUAGAAAGCCUCUGUCCAGAGCAAAUUUGUUUUGGAAACAGAUUAAAAAGCACCACUUAGCCUCAUUUUGAGCAAGGGGGAAACAACCCUUUUACCAUUAUUUUUAAAAAGUGUUAUCAACUUUUGAACUAAUUCGGUAGCAGAAGGAUUUAGGCUGGUAACUUUACAUUUGACGCAGAGAGAAUUCCUAGGUCAGACAGUCUCGUCUCUCAGCUCUGGUUAAAAACGACCUGUGAUGUGUGUGUUUUCUGAGGGUUCAAUAACUCUCCGUUCUGCACACACACUGAUUCCUUCUUCCAUUUGUAGGAGUUCCCAUUUCCAGACCUGACAUGAUCUCCUGGCUGGAGUGAAGGGAGGAGCUGUGGGUCCCCAGUCUCUGGGGAGAGGAGGAAAGAGAGAUACUGAGAGAUGCCCGCAGAGCAGAGGGCGUGACGUGAACUGGAUUAUCUCUGUGUCUCUGGGACGGUGAGUGAGACCGAGGAGAAUCCUCAGCUGGGAGUCCGGAGCAGGAGGAACCACACAGGACAGUUUGGGGAGAUCGUAGGAGACUCAGCCCAAGCCAUGCGGGCACCAGGGAAAAGAGCCAGGGCAGAGACUGAGUGAAUCAGCUCACCAGAGCAGAGGGGUUGGAAAAAUCAAAGAAACUUCCCAGCAGAGAAUCCCCACUGGAGACAGACCCAGUAUGUUUGGUGACUGUGGGAACAGCUUCCCUGGGAGUUCUGCCCAUAUUACUCAGCAGACAGUCCACAUGGGAGAAAAACGCUAUAGAUGUGCUGAGUGUGGGAAAAGCUUCUCUCAGAGUACAACGCUCAUUAACCAUCAGAGACUCCACACAGGAGAGAAGCCCUACAUGUGCCCCACGUGUGGGAUCAGCUUUGUUCAGCUCUCACAAGUUGUUAGACACCAGAGAAUCCACACGGGAGAAAAGCCCUAUACAUGCCUGACCUGUGGGAAAA
This is a non-coding RNA of Chrysemys picta bellii (western painted turtle), 1261 nucleotides long. The record is from RefSeq and is a predicted model, not a curated record. NCBI's taxonomy places the organism in Eukaryota, Metazoa, Chordata, Testudines, Emydidae.